GAUUGACCUCGGAUCAGGUAGGAUACCGCUGAACUUAAGCAUAUCAAUAAGCGGAGGAAAAGAAACCAACAGGGAUUGCCUCAGUAACGGCGAGUGAAGCGGCAACAGCUCAAAUUUGAAAUCUGGCUCUCGCGGGCCCGAGUUGUAAUUUGCAGAGGAUGUUUCGGGCGAGGUACCGUUCUAAGUCCUUUGGAACAGGGCGUCAUAGAGGGUGAGAAUCCCGUACGUGACCGGUGUCCGACCCCAUGUGAAACUCCUUCGACGAGUCAGUUGUUUGGGAAUGCAGCUCAAAAUGGGUGGUAAAUUUCAUCUAAAGCUAAAUACUGGCCAGAGACCGAUAGCGCACAAGUAGAGUGAUCGAAAGAUGAAAAGCACUUUGGAAAGAGAGUUAAAAAGUACGUGAAAUUGUUGAAAGGGAAGCGCUUGCAGCCAGAUCGCCCGGGGGUGAUCAGCCGUCCUUUUGGGCGGUGCACUCUCCCCCGGUCGGGCCACCAUCGGUUUGGGCGGCUGGAUAAAGACCUCGGGAACGUAGCUCCUCUCGGGGAGUGUUAUAGCCCGGGGUGCAAUCAGUCAGCCUGGACCGAGGACG
Molecule: ribosomal RNA, 589 nt
Filed under: Carestiella socia
Lineage: Eukaryota; Fungi; Ascomycota; Lecanoromycetes; Ostropales; Stictidaceae
Description: LSU rRNA
Rfam family: Eukaryotic large subunit ribosomal RNA
Source: RNAcentral